Molecule: ribosomal RNA, 1716 nt
Filed under: Salmonella enterica
Lineage: Bacteria; Pseudomonadati; Pseudomonadota; Gammaproteobacteria; Enterobacterales; Enterobacteriaceae
Also listed under: 1 other name
Description: partial 23S ribosomal RNA
Rfam family: Bacterial large subunit ribosomal RNA
Source: RNAcentral
GUUGGGUAGGGGAGCGUUCUGUAAGCCUGCGAAGGUGUCCCGUGAGGGAUGCUGGAGGUAUCAGAAGUGCGAAUGCUGACAUAAGUAACGAUAAAGCGGGUGAAAAGCCCGCUCGCCGGAAGACCAAGGGUUCCUGUCCAACGUUAAUCGGGGCAGGGUGAGUCGACCCCUAAGGCGAGGCCGAAAGGCGUAGUCGAUGGGAAACGGGUUAAUAUUCCCGUACUUGGUGUUACUGCGAAGGGGGGACGGAGAAGGCUAUGUUGGCCGGGCGACGGUUGUCCCGGUUUAAGCGUGUAGGUGUGUGUUCCAGGUAAAUCCGGUUCACUUUAACACUGAGGCGUGACGACGAGGCACUACGGUGCUGAAGCAACAAAUGCCCUGCUUCCAGGAAAAGCCUCUAAGCAUCAGGUAACAUCAAAUCGUACCCCAAACCGACACAGGUGGUCAGGUAGAGAAUACCAAGGCGCUUGAGAGAACUCGGGUGAAGGAACUAGGCAAAAUGGUGCCGUAACUUCGGGAGAAGGCACGCUGACACGUAGGUGAAGUGAUUUACUCAUGGAGCUGAAGUCAGUCGAAGAUACCAGCUGGCUGCAACUGUUUAUUAAAAACACAGCACUGUGCAAACACGAAAGUGGACGUAUACGGUGUGACGCCUGCCCGGUGCCGGAAGGUUAAUUGAUGGGGUCAGCGCAAGCGAAGCUCCUGAUCGAAGCCCCGGUAAACGGCGGCCGUAACUAUAACGGUCCUAAGGUAGCGAAAUUCCUUGUCGGGUAAGUUCCGACCUGCACGAAUGGCGUAAUGAUGGCCAGGCUGUCUCCACCCGAGACUCAGUGAAAUUGAACUCGCUGUGAAGAUGCAGUGUACCCGCGGCAAGACGGAAAGACCCCGUGAACCUUUACUAUAGCUUGACACUGAACAUUGAGCCUUGAUGUGUAGGAUAGGUGGGAGGCUUUGAAGUGUGGACGCCAGUCUGCAUGGAGCCGACCUUGAAAUACCACCCUUUAAUGUUUGAUGUUCUAACGUGGACCCGUAAUCCGGGUUGCGGACAGUGUCUGGUGGGUAGUUUGACUGGGGCGGUCUCCUCCUAAAGAGUAACGGAGGAGCACGAAGGUUGGCUAAUCCUGGUCGGACAUCAGGAGGUUAGUGCAAUGGCAUAAGCCAGCUUGACUGCGAGCGUGACGGCGCGAGCAGGUGCGAAAGCAGGUCAUAGUGAUCCGGUGGUUCUGAAUGGAAGGGCCAUCGCUCAACGGAUAAAAGGUACUCCGGGGAUAACAGGCUGAUACCGCCCAAGAGUUCAUAUCGACGGCGGUGUUUGGCACCUCGAUGUCGGCUCAUCACAUCCUGGGGCUGAAGUAGGUCCCAAGGGUAUGGCUGUUCGCCAUUUAAAGUGGUACGCGAGCUGGGUUUAGAACGUCGUGAGACAGUUCGGUCCCUAUCUGCCGUGGGCGCUGGAGAACUGAGGGGGGCUGCUCCUAGUACGAGAGGACCGGAGUGGACGCAUCACUGGUGUUCGGGUUGUCAUGCCAAUGGCACUGCCCGGUAGCUAAAUGCGGAAGAGAUAAGUGCUGAAAGCAUCUAAGCACGAAACUUGCCCCGAGAUGAGUUCUCCCUGAGACUUAGAGUCUCCUGAAGGAACGUUGAAGACGACGACGUUGAUAGGCCGGGUGUGUAAGCGCAGCGAUGCGUUGAGCUAACCGGUACUAAUGAACCGUGAGG